GAUGAAGAACGCAUCGAAAUGCGAUAAGUAAUGUGAAUUGCAGAAUUCAGUGAAUCAUCGAAUCUUUGAACGCACAUUGCGCCCGCCAGUAUUCUGGCGGGCAUGCCUGUUCGAGCGUCAUUACAACCCUCAGGCCCCCGGGCCUGGCGUUGGGGAUCGGCGGAGCCCCCCGUGGGCACACGCCGUCCCCCAAAUACAGUGGCGGUCCCGCCGCAGCUUCCAUCGCGUAGUAGCUAACACCUCGCGACUGGAGAGCGGCGCGGCCACGCCGUAAAACACCCAACUCUUCUGAAGUUGACCUCGAAUCAGGUAGGAAUACCCGCUGAACUUAAGCAUAUCAAUAAGCGGAGGA
RNAcentral lists this unclassified non-coding RNA (352 nucleotides) under soil metagenome. Its description in RNAcentral is "partial contains 5.8S ribosomal RNA, internal transcribed spacer 2, and large subunit ribosomal RNA". The stretch from base 1 to 120 matches the Rfam family "5.8S ribosomal RNA", at positions 35 to 154 of the family's 154-position model. The record is from RNAcentral.